CCAGACUCCUACGGGAGGCAGCAGUGGGGGAUAUUGCACAAUGGGGGAAACCCUGAUGCAGCGACGCCGCGUGAGUGAAGAAGUAUUUCGGUAUGUAAAGCUCUAUCAGCAGGGAAGAAAAUGACAGUACCUGACCAAGAAGCCCCGGCUAACUACGUGCCAGCAGCCGCGGUAAUACGUAGGGGGCAAGCGUUAUCCGGAUUUACUGGGUGUAAAGGGAGCGUAGACGGUUAUGUAAGUCUGGAGUGAAAGCCCGGGGCCCAACCCCGGGACUGCUUUGGAAACUGUGUAACUGGAGUGCAGGAGGGGCAGGCGGAAUUCCUGGUGUAGCGGUGAAAUGCGUAGAUAUCACGCAGAACUCCGAUUGCGA
This 370-nucleotide ribosomal RNA is filed under the name uncultured bacterium. Its description in RNAcentral is "bacterial SSU rRNA". It matches the Rfam family "Bacterial small subunit ribosomal RNA", at positions 331 to 718 of the family's 1533-position model. The record is from RNAcentral.